GAUGAACGCUGGCGGCGUGCCUAAUACAUGCAAGUCGAGCGAACAGAUGAGGAGCCUGCUCCUCUGACGUUAGCGGCGGACGGGUGAGUAACACGUGGAUAACCUACCUAUAAGACUGGGAUAACUUCGGGAAACCGGAGCUAAUACCGGAUAAUAUAUUGAACCGCAUGGUUCAAUAGUGAAAGACGGUUUUGCUGUCACUUAUAGAUGGAUCCGCGCCGCAUUAGCUAGUUGGUAAGGUAACGGCUUACCAAGGCAACGAUGCGUAGCCGACCUGAGAGGGUGAUAGGCCACACUGGAACUGAGACACGGUCCAGACUCCUACGGGAGGCAGCAGUAGGGAAUCUUCCGCAAUGGGCGAAAGCCUGACGGAGCAACGCCGCGUGAGUGAUGAAGGUCUUCGGAUCGUAAAACUCUGUUAUUAGGGAAGAACAAAUGUGUAAGUAACUAUGCACGUCUUGACGGUACCUAAUCAGAAAACCACGGCUAACUACGU
Molecule: ribosomal RNA, 496 nt
Filed under: uncultured bacterium
Lineage: Bacteria
Description: partial 16S ribosomal RNA
Rfam family: Bacterial small subunit ribosomal RNA
Source: RNAcentral